UUACACAUGCAAAACUCCCUAAGCCAGUGUCAAAUCCCCCAAAAUUCUACAGAAUUUGAAGGAGAGGACAUCAAGUUCAUUCUAAUAGCUAAAGACGUCUUGCCUAGCCACACCCCCACGGGACCCAGCAGUGAUAAAAAUUAAGCAAUGAACGAAAGUUUGACUAAGUUAUACCUCCAAGGGUUGGUAAAUCUCGUGCCAGCCACCGCCGGUCAUACGAUUAACCCCAAAAUUAACUAUCACCCGGCGUAAAACGUGUCCCUAGAGUACCCCCAAUAGAAUUAAAAUUCAACCAAUAUGUGAAAAUUCAUCGUUGAAGUUAAAAUCAGAAACGAAAGUUAUUCUAGUAGACUUAAUACACGAUAGCUAAGAUCCAAACUGGGAUUAGAUACCCCACUAUGCUUAGCCCUAAACCACAAUAACUUAAAAACAAAGUUAUUUGCCUGAGAACUACUGGCCACCGCUUAAAACUCAAAGGACUUGGCGGUACUUUAUAUCCACCUAGAGGAGCCUGUUCUAUAAUCGAUAAACCCCGCUAUACCUCACCACUUCUUGCUAAUUCAGCCUAUAUACCGCCAUCUUCAGCAAACCUUUUAAAAAGAACCAUAGUAAGCAAGAGAACAAUCAUAAAAACGUUAGGUCAAGGUGUAGCCUAUGAAGUGGGAAGCAAUGGGCUACAUUUUCUCCACAAGAACAUUAACGACACCCUCUAUGAAACUAGAGGACAAAGGAGGAUUUAGUAGUAAAUUAAGAA
Molecule: ribosomal RNA, 754 nt
Filed under: Sigmodon hispidus (hispid cotton rat)
Lineage: Eukaryota; Metazoa; Chordata; Mammalia; Rodentia; Cricetidae
Description: mitochondrial SSU ribosomal RNA
Rfam family: Bacterial small subunit ribosomal RNA
Source: RNAcentral